This 861-nucleotide long non-coding RNA is filed under the name Ananas comosus (pineapple). RNAcentral's name for it is "long non-coding RNA (ACOM_LNC015157)". The record is from RNAcentral. Lineage: Eukaryota; Viridiplantae; Streptophyta; Magnoliopsida; Poales; Bromeliaceae.
AUUAAAAAUUUAUUAGUUUUAUAAAUUUUACAAAAGUAGUUCAUUAUUUUGAAUUUUACAGAUUCGAUCUGGAUAUUCAGAAAACUAAUCAAAAUACCCUUAUUUCUUUAUCUCUCUUCUUUUUUUUCUCUCGUCCUUACUUUUAUUCUCUCCGAAGAGGGUGGCGGAGGCGGAGGCGGCCCACCUCGCCUCAGACCCGCGCGCCCUCGCCCUCCCGCCCUCCUCGCCUCCGACCCUACUGAGGCCGCAUUGCGAUUCUCUUUUUUUUUAAUAGUUGAAGGAAGAGAAGGAGAAUGAGAAGAAAUAGUAUAAUUAUCUUCCAAAUGGUGCAACUUUCGUUUUAAUAGUAUAACUUUUAUCUUAAAGAGUACAGUUUAUAUAUCAAAGAAUGUAACUUACGUCUAUAACAAUGCAACGUUCUUUUAAAAUAGUGUAACUUUAUCUUAACAGUAUAAUUUCAUCUUUAUCUUCUUUCUUCUCUAGUUCUUCUUUCUUAUUCUCUAGUUUUGGCCUUUAAUUUUUUUUUUUAUUUUAGUAAACAAAAAUAUUUGAUCAGAGAUAUUACAGUGAAGGUGAAAAUGGAGGGCGGAGAAAAGUUGGGUGUAGAAGAAGCAUAAGGAGAAAUGGAGAUGAAAAUGGAGGGCGGAGAGAAGUUGGGCAUAGAAGAAGCAUGAGGAAGCGGAGGGAAAGGAGGAGGAGGAGGAGGAGGAGGAGGAGGAGGAAAAACAGUGUACAUCUCCCAAAGAGUACAAUUUUUAUUUAGUGUAACUUUCAUCUUAAAAGAUGCAAUUUACAGUUCAAAGAGUACAACUUACAUCUAUAACAGCGCAAAGUUCUUCUAAAGCAGUGCAACUUUAUUUU